Molecule: ribosomal RNA, 883 nt
Filed under: uncultured bacterium
Lineage: Bacteria
Description: bacterial SSU rRNA
Rfam family: Bacterial small subunit ribosomal RNA
Source: RNAcentral
AGAUUGAACGCUGGCGGCAGGCCUAACACAUGCAAGUCGAGCGGAAACAGAGAGUAACUUGUUACUUUGCUGUCGAGCGGCGGACGGGUGAGUAAUGCUUGGGAAACUGCCCAGUCGAGGGGGACAACCAUUGGAAACGAUGGCUAAUACCGCAUACGCCCUACGGGGGAAAGAAGGGGACUCUUCGGAGCCUUUCGCGAUUGGAUGUGCCCAAGUGGGAUUAGCUAGUUGGUGAGGUAAAGGCUCACCAAGGCGACGAUCCCUAGCUGGUUUGAGAGGAUGAUCAUCCACACUGGAACUGAGACACGGUCCAGACUCCUACGGGAGGCAGCAGUGGGGAAUAUUGCACAAUGGGCGCAAGCCUGAUGCAGCCAUGCCGCGUGUAUGAAGAAGGCCUUCGGGUUGUAAAGUACUUUCAGCGAGGAGGAAAGGGUAGUAGUUAAUAACUGCUAUCUGUGACGUUACUCGCAGAAGAAGGACCGGCUAACUCCGUGCCAGCAGCCGCGGUAAUACGGAGGGUCCGAGCGUUAAUCGGAAUUACUGGGCGUAAAGCGUACGCAGGCGGUUUGUUAAGCGAGAUGUGAAAGCCCCGGGCUCAACCUGGGAACUGCAUUUCGAACUGACAAACUAGAGUUUUGUAGAGGGUGGUAGAAUUUCAGGUGUAGCGGUGAAAUGCGUAGAGAUCUGAAGGAAUACCAGUGGCGAAGGCGGCCACCUGGACAAUAACUGACGCUCAUGUACGAAAGCGUGGGGAGCAAACGGGAUUAGAUACCCCGGUAGUCCACGCCGUAAACGAUGUCAACUAGCCGACUGAAUCCUUGAGAUUUGGGUGGCGCAGCUAACGCAUUAAGUUGACCGCCUGGGGAGUACGGCCGCAAGGUUA